RNAcentral lists this transfer RNA (73 nucleotides) under Bos taurus (domestic cattle). It matches the Rfam family "tRNA". Rfam says of the family: Transfer RNA (tRNA) molecules are approximately 80 nucleotides in length. Their secondary structure includes four short double-helical elements and three loops (D, anti-codon, and T loops). The record is from Rfam by way of RNAcentral. RNAcentral also lists the same sequence under 2 other names. Lineage: Eukaryota; Metazoa; Chordata; Mammalia; Artiodactyla; Bovidae.
UCCCUGGUGGUCCAGUGGCUAAGACUCCGUGCUCCCAAAGCCGUGGCCCUGGGUUCGAUCCCUGGUCAGGGAA